RNA transcript from Galeopterus variegatus (Sunda flying lemur), 2052 nucleotides. It is a transcript of the gene named nuclear receptor subfamily 5 group A member 2 pseudogene, with no coding region annotated. NCBI's taxonomy places the organism in Eukaryota, Metazoa, Chordata, Mammalia, Dermoptera, Cynocephalidae. The record is from RefSeq and is a predicted model, not a curated record. The transcript has a single exon.
AGGCUAACUGAAGCAAGCACGAAAAGUUGAGCACAUUUGGGCUUAUGUGCAAAAUGGCAGAUCAAACCCUCUUCUCCAUUGUCGAGUGGGCCAGGAGUAGCAUCUUCUUCAGAGAACUGAAGGUUGAUGACCAAAUGAAGCUGCUUCAGAACUGCUGGAGUGAGCUCUUAAUCCUCGACCACAUUUACCGGCAAGUGGUACAUGGAAAGGAAGGAUCAAUCUUCCUGGUUACUGGGCAACAAGUGGACUAUUCCAUAAUAGCAUCACAAGCUGGGGCCACUCUCAACAAUCUUAUGAGUCACGCACAGGAGUUAGUGGUGAAACUUCACUCUCUACAGUUUGAUCAGCGAGAGUUUGUGUGUCUGAAAUUCCUGGUGCUCUUUAGUUUAGAUGUCAAAAACCUUGAGAACUUCCAGCUGGUAGAAGGUGUCCAAGAACAAGUUAACGCCGCCCUGCUGGACUACACCAUGUGCAACUACCCACAGCAAACGGAGAAAUUUGGGCAGCUACUUCUUCGACUACCCGAAAUCCGGGCCAUCAGCAUGCAGGCUGAAGAAUACCUCUACUACAAGCACCUGAACGGCGAUGUGCCCUAUAAUAACCUUCUCAUUGAAAUGUUGCAUGCAAAAAGAGCGUAGGUUACAACCCCUGGGAGCUCGGCUUUCAAAACAAAAAGAGAUUUGGGGGGGAGGGGGAGAGGGAAGAAAAACAGGAAGAAAAAAAAAAAAUACUCUGAACUGCUCCAAGGAACACUAAUUAAAAACUUGGUCUAAAGAUAUUGAAUUUAGAAAGGCAUAAUCAAAUACUUAAUAGCAAAUAAAUGAUGUAUCAGGGUAUUUGUAUUGCAAACUGUGAAUCAAAGGCUUCACAUCCCCAAAGGAUUCUGUAUAAAAGACAUCGUAAUGGAGUGGAUUGAACCCACAGAUGGAUACCAACACUAUAUCAGAAGAAACCUGGACAGAACAUUUCUUGUAUAUUUAAACUGAUCUCCGCUAUGAAGAAAUUUAGGAACCAAUCUGUGUUAUUAGUUAGGCUUACACAGUGGAGGAUUCGAACUUAACAGAAUUCCUCCAUGGUAAAGCUGAACUGAAACGUUCUCAAGAAUGCAUCAGCUGUACCUACAAUAGCCCUUUCCUCUUCCUUUGAAGGGCCCAGUACCUUCUGCCCUGGGAUCACAGAAUCUGAACUAAGGACCUGUGUUCAGCCACACUCAGUAGUAGCUCCACCAAAUCAUGAAAAGCCUAAUUUUGAAUGUCUGUGUCCUAGACCUGCAAACAGCUAAUAAGAACAGUCUAUUAAUAUGUUAGCUCACCAUUUUAAAUAUGUUCUGAAGUUUGUUUUGUCAUGCGUUCAUGAUGUUAAAAAGAAAAGCAGGCAGUAUCCCUCUUCUAUCUUAUGCAGACAUUAAUUAAUAUUAAGGGAAAUGACUACAAACUUUUAAAGCAAGUGCUUGAUAGCUUAACCAAGUUAAACCUAAUUUCUGCUACUGUUGCUGAAAUGUGGCUUUAGCAUUGUUGGGUUUCAUAAAAAUUUCUGGCCAAUAUGCCUAUUAGGAAACAUUUGUCUUUUUAGUCAUUACAGUUUGUGGUUCAUUUCAAAAUAAAACAUUAAACAUAUUUUGCUGGGGUGUCAAAUGUAAUUGAAAACAAAAUUGAAGCAUGUUAAGCUACGCAAAAAGAAAAGCAAAAAUGAGCUGAUAAAUUGAUCGACUCAAGGUGCGUUCUUAUUGCAAUUGAAUGUCCCCUACCUAAACUUGGGAUGGAAACGGUGAUUUUUCAAUAUGGCCUGGAAAGACACUAAAGUAAUUCAGUCUUCCCCAAAGGGGAAAGGAAGAGAGUGAUACAGACCUUUUUGAGUCGUAGACCAAAGUCGGCUGUAGAACAAAUAAUGGAAAAAAGAGAAUUGCUAACUCUCCAAAUGACACUAUCAGUAUUAUUGACAUGUGACAUCACAGAUAUGAGAGUCUUGCCUUAUUUCCCAAUUCUAAAAGGUAGCUGUGCAGAUGUAGAUCAACAGUUGUUUAAAAUAAAGUAUUAAUACUUUAAAGUCAAA